AGAAGCAAAUAAGGGCGCAUGGGGGAUGCCUAGGCUCUCGAAGACUAUGAAGGACGUGGUAAGCUGCGAAAAGCUGUGGGGAGUUGCAAACAAACAUUGAUCCACAGAUGUCCGAAUGGGGCAACCCGUUAUGUUGAAGACAUAACAUUCUGCGUAAGCAGGAAGAAAACCCGGUGAACUGAAACAUCUAAGUAACCGGAGGAAGAGAAAACAAACGUGAUUCCGUAAGUAGUGGCGAGCGAACGCGGAACAGCCUAAACCAUAUCAAGCAAUUGGUAUGGGGUUGUAGGACUCACAUAAUUGAUACAAUUAGAAGUGGAAUGCUUUGGAAGGAGCAACCGAAGAGGGUGAAAGUCCCGUACACGUAAAGAGAGUAUUGAGGUGAGGAUCCUGAGUAGGGCGGAGCAGGUGAAACUCUGUCUGAAUCUACCGGCACCAUCCGGUAAGGCUAAAUACUCACGAGAGACCGAUAGUGAACCAGUACCGUGAGGGAAAGGUGAAAAGAACCCCGAGCAGGGGAGUGAAAAGAACCUGAAACCAUGCGCUUACAAGCGGUCGGAGUUUCGUCUUAGGACGGAAUGACGGCGUGCCUUUUGCAUAAUGAGCCUACGAGUUGCUCUUCUAUAGCGAGUUUAAGCCCCUCAGGGGCGUUAGGCGCAGCGAAAGCGAGUCUUAACAGGGCGACAUAGCUAUAGGAGGCAGACGCGAAACCGAGUGAUCUACCCAUGGGCAGGUUGAAGUUCCGAUAGUCUCGGAAUGGAGGACCGAACCAGUACAUGUUGAAAAAUGUUUGGAUGACCUGUGGGUAGGGGUGAAAGGCCAAUCAAACUCGGAGAUAUCUCGUACUCCCCGAAAUGCAUUUAGGUGCAGCGUUGAAUAAGAGUGUCAUGGAGGUAGAGCUACCAAUAGGGCUAGGGGGCUUCACCGCCUACCAACCCCUGAUGAACUCCGAAUGCCAUGACAUGUUCUUCAGCAGUGAGGCUAUGGGUGCUAAGGUCCAUAGCCGAGAGGGAAACAACCCAGACCAACAGCUAAGGUCCCUAAAUAUGGACUAAGUUGAAUUAACGAGGUGGGAAUGCAGUGACAGCUAGGAUGUUGGCUUGGAAGCAGCCAUUCAUUUAAAGAGUGCGUAAUAGCUCACUAGUCGAGCGUUCCUGCGCGGAAAAUAAUCGGGCAUCAAGUCCAUUACCGAAGCUUUGGUUUUCUACUUUUUAAAGUAGGAAAGGUAGGGGAGCAUUCUUAGUGCGUUGAAGUUGUGUCGUGAGACACAUUGGAGCGCUGAGAAAAGAAAAUGUAGGCAUAAGUAACGAUAAAUACAGCGAAAAACUGUAUCGCCGAAAGACUAAGGUUUCCUGGAUCUAUGUUAAUCAGAACAGGGUUAGUCGGGACCUAAGGCGAAGCCGAAAGGUGUAGUCGAUGGAAAACAGGUUAAUAUUCCUGUACCUGUAUAUACUGCGAUGGAGGGACGGAGUCGCGUAAGGUCUGCCCCCUGACGGAAUAGGGGGUUGAAGUGCGUAGGCGUUGAAUUUGAUAGGUAAAUCCGUCAGAUGAGCUGAAACACGAUAGUACACCGAGAACUUCGGUUCGAGGUGAUAAUGACCCCAAGCAUACUUCCGAGAAAAACUUCUAAGCUUCAGGUAUAUACAGCCCGUACCACAAACCGACACAGGUAGUUGAGGAGAGAAUCCUAAGGCGCUCGAGUGAUUCAUGGCUAAGGAACUAGGCAAAAUAGCCCCGUAACUUCGGGAGAAGGGGCGCUCCAUUAUAAUAUGGAGCCGCAGUGAAAAGGCCCAGGCGACUGUUUAGCAAAAACACAGGACUCUGCAAAAUCGAAAGAUGAAGUAUAGGGUCUGACACCUGCCCGGUGCCGGAAGGUUAAGGAAGGGGGUUAGUUCUUCGGAACAAAGCUCUUAACUGAAGCCCCGGUAAACGGCGGCCGUAACUAUAACGGUCCUAAGGUAGCGAAAUUCCUUGUCGGGUAAGUUCCGACCUG
This 1993-nucleotide ribosomal RNA is filed under the name marine sediment metagenome. Its description in RNAcentral is "bacterial LSU rRNA". It matches the Rfam family "Bacterial large subunit ribosomal RNA", at positions 1 to 1990 of the family's 2925-position model. The record is from RNAcentral.